Molecule: ribosomal RNA, 133 nt
Filed under: uncultured bacterium
Lineage: Bacteria
Description: partial 16S ribosomal RNA
Source: RNAcentral
AGGUUACGUCAAGACUCACGGAUAUUAACCGUAAGCUUUUCUUCUCUACUGAAAGUGCUUUACAACCCGCAGGCCUUCUUCACACACGCGGCAUUGCUGGAUCAGGCUUGCGCCCAUUGUCCAAUAUUCCCCA